UUUUUUCUCAUAAGUUACCUUUUUUAUUCAAACUAUAACAAGUACACUGGGUUUACAAACAUCACUGAAAGCCCAUUAGGCCGAGUCAUCAAUAUCACAAGGUAAAAGAAGAGUUAUCUCUACCCAAAACGUGUCAAGCUAUUGGACUAUAACAAUGCCACGUGUUGCGGGAGAAAAGUGUUACGCUUUUCCAUCGUCCUCUGCCGCUUGGACUCUGAUUCCGGUGAAUGAAAUCGACGCCGGGGAAACACGAUCAUCGAUUCUUUGCUUUUCACCAAUAACUGCAAACUUUAAGGAAAUACUGAAUAGAUAAUCAAACUCAACCGCUUGCCUAAAACAAUUACAAAUUGGAUCCGGCAAAAACGGGUAAAAGAGUAUGAAAAUCUAUCUAAUCCACAAUUGCUUUGUAAUCAAAUCGGAGCUCCGAUUACUGGCGGCUAUAAGGCAAUACAAAUUUUCCAAGGAAACAAAACUUCUUAACAUCAACCUUCAUCGCAACCAUCUAUGAUGCUAAUCUGUAAACCAAUGAUUUAACAAAAGAAAAUUAAAGAAAAACUAUUCCUCCACCAUCUGAGAUCUAAACCAUAAAAGUGAUGAAACUAGAGGCAAAGGCUUCCAAAGACAACACUUCUGGCUAAGAAAAUUAGAUUUGGACUUGAAAUCAAAGAAAGUCGAGGGGAUUAUUCCUAAACACCAAAACGAUUAAAACGCGGCAAAGGAAACCGCUCUGAAGCCAGCCACCGCCGCUAUGAAAGCCGACUGAUGCUGGAAAAGGAAUCGGACCUUGUCCGGGCGCAAAGCCGGAGUGAAACCCGGACGACGAUUUGGACUUUGAUCGGAGAAGUCAUAAGUUUCUUUCUCUCUGAAAAGUUUUUAGAGAGAGAAGAGAGAGAGAAACCUCCUCGUUAUCUUUUUUUCUAUCCACUCAUCCAUGGUUUAUAAUAUGAUUUGUGAGAUCUUCAUUAUCCACUGACUAAACAUGAAAACAUGCACCCAAGUCACAACCAUAUCUCAGGCUUUAUUGGCUUUAUUGCUACGUACAUGUGAA
RNAcentral lists this long non-coding RNA (1048 nucleotides) under Arabidopsis lyrata. RNAcentral's name for it is "long non-coding RNA (ALYR_LNC003150)". Lineage: Eukaryota; Viridiplantae; Streptophyta; Magnoliopsida; Brassicales; Brassicaceae. The record is from RNAcentral.